Molecule: ribosomal RNA, 520 nt
Filed under: uncultured eukaryote
Lineage: Eukaryota
Also listed under: 1 other name
Description: SSU rRNA
Rfam family: Eukaryotic small subunit ribosomal RNA
Source: RNAcentral
UAGUCAUAUGCUUGUCUCAAAGACUAAGCCAUGCAUGUCUAAGUAUGAAUGUUAUACAGUGAAACUGCGAAUGGCUCAUUAAAACAGUUAUUGUUUAUUUGAUAAUCAAAUUUACAUGGAUAACCGUGGUAAUUCUAGAGCUAAUACAUGCUGAUAUGCCUGACUCUUAGGAAGGGCUGUAUUUAUUAGAUAACAAACCAAUAUUCCUCGUGUCUAUUGUGAUGACUCAUAAUAACUGAUCGAAUCGCAUGGACUUUGUCCGCGAUACAUCAUUCAAGUUUCUGCCCCAUCAGCUUUCGAUGGUAGUGUAUUGGACUACCAUGGCUUUAACGGGUAACGGAGGAUUAGGGUUCGAUUCCGGAGAGGGAGCCUGAGAAACGGCUACCACAUCUAAGGAAGGCAGCAGGCGCGUAAAUUACCCAAUCCUAAUUCAGGGAGGUAGUGACAAGAAAUAACGGACUGAGGCCUACGCUUCAGGAUUGCAAUGAGUAGAAUUUAAACCCCUUUGCGAGGAUCAAUU